GCCUCUCUCCUCCUCUCCAAGAGACGAAUACAUUUGGGCCCAGUAGGGACCUAUGUUUGCAAAAGCUCGCAGGCGAUUCUCAUGCAGACAGCCUGGCUCUGGCACUGAGUUCUUGGACACUUCUGGAGGCACAUUUACUAGUGAGGAAGAUCACUGUGUGCUGAAGGCAUGACUCAUCUUCCAUUCCUUUCUUCCAUAAAGCAAGGCGCAUGGGUCGACUGAGCUGGGAGAGUCCACGGUGUCAGCCUCCCCCACGCUUCCCUCCCUCCUUAUUCCUUGUGUGCUGUACUUUGUCUUGAUUUCCUGUACUCUGCACCAAGCCAGGAGAUGGGUGUCUCAAGCUCCUGCUCUUAAAACACCUGCAAGAGAAUCAUCCAGGCGGCUUGCUCGCUCUGCAUGCAGACCCUUUAGAAUCAGAAUCAGAAUCCCUGGGGCUGGAGCCACAAAAUGAAAUGACAUUUCAACAAGUUUGUCAUCACGUAAGAGAGAAUAGGAUCUUGCUCUGUCACCCAGGCUGGAGCACAGUGGCACCGUCUUGGCUCACUGUAGCCUUUGCCUCCUGGGCUCAAGCAGUCUUCCCACCUCAGCCUUCCUGAGUAGCUGGAACUACAGAAACUCCUGGAGGGCAGAUGCAUGCCUGCCAUCUUCAUCGUUUCAUUACCACCAUCCAACACUAUCGGGGGACCUGCCCUGAUAAUCAGUCUACAGGUGUAUCCAGCAGCUCCAGAGAGACAGCGACCAGCGAGAAGGGGCCAUGAUGAUGGUGGUGGUUUUGUCAAAACGAAAAGGGGGAUAUGUAGGGAAAAGAAAGAGAGAUCAGACUGUUACUGUGUCUACAUAGAAAGGGAAGCCAUAAGAGACUCCAUUUUGAAAAAGACCUGUACUUUAAACAAUUGCUUGCUGAGAUGUUGUUUAUCUGUAGCUUUGCCCCAGCCACUUUGCCCCAACCACUUUGACCCAAUCUGGAGCUCACAAAAACAUGUUUGUAUGAAAUCAAGGCUUAAGGCAUGUAGGGCUGUGCAGGACGUGCCUUGUUAACCAAAUAUUUGGAAGCAGUAUACUUGGUAAAAGUCAUCACCAUUCUCUCGUCUCAAUAAACCAGGGGCACAAUGCACUGUGGAAAGCCGCAGGGACCUCUGCCCUUGAAAGCUGGGUAUUGUCCAUGGUUUCUUCCCAUGUGAUAGUCUGAAAUAUGGCCUCAUGGGAUGAGAAAGACCUGACGGUCCCCCAGCUCGACACCCAUAAAGUGUCUGUGCUGAGGUGGAUUAGUCAAAGAGGAAAGCCUCUUGCAGUUGAGAUAGAGGAAGGCCGCUGUCUCAUGCUUGCCCCCUGGGAACUGAAUGUCUCGGUAUAAAACACUAUUGUACAUUUGUUCAAUUCUGACAUGGGAGAAAAACCACCCUAUGGUGGGAGGCGAGACAUGUUUGCAGCAAUGCUGCCUUGUUAUUCUUUACUCCACUGAGAUGUCUGGGUGCAGAGAAACAUAAAUCUGGCUUACAUGCACGUCCAGUCAUAGUACCUUCCCUUGAACUUCAUUAUGUCAUAGAUUCUAUUGCUCACAUGUUUGUUGCUGACCUUCUCCUUAUUAUCACCUUGCCCUCCUACUACAUUCAUUUUUGCUGAAAUAAUGAAGAUAAUAAUCAAUAAAAACUGAGGGAACUCAGAGAACGGUGCCAGUGCAGGUCCUUAGCAUGCUAAGCGCCGGUCCCCUGGGCCCACUGUUGUUUCUCUAUA
RNAcentral lists this unclassified non-coding RNA (1734 nucleotides) under Homo sapiens (human). Its description in RNAcentral is "novel transcript (ENSG00000292274.1)". Lineage: Eukaryota; Metazoa; Chordata; Mammalia; Primates; Hominidae. The record is from RNAcentral.